Molecule: long non-coding RNA, 950 nt
Organism: Ictalurus furcatus (blue catfish)
Lineage: Eukaryota; Metazoa; Chordata; Actinopteri; Siluriformes; Ictaluridae
Exons: 3
Source: RefSeq, a predicted model, not a curated record
AUAGGAACAGCUGUACCUUAUUUGGGGUUAGUCAGUCACUUUAAUUUACGGCAGGUGUAUACUAAUUAGUACUCAACACGAGUUUGAAUGUGACGGAUUCUGAACACUGCCACAUUCCCAAUUAUAAAAGGGUGUGCACACUGAAGAUUUUGCAGCGGCAAUCUACGCACAAGUACUGAAGGAAAAGAGGAAAUAACUUGCCAUUGAUUUCCCCCCAAUAUGAAUAAAUCAUUAACAUUAAACAAAGAUACUCAGCGGUCAUUGUUUUAAGCAUGAAAUCAGAGAAAAAUUUUAUCAGUUUAAAUAGACAAGUAAUAGUUGGUACAGGUGUCAAAAAUAUUGCACGAGACAAUUCCGCAUCUAUGAAAAAGGCAAAGCCUUAGAGUAAUAAUAAAAUAAGUUAUAUCAUUUAAAAAAAAAGUUCUGAUCAUUUAAAUGUUUAGAGUGUCAUCCUGCAGUCAUCCAAUAAGAAGAGUUGGGUUGGUUACAGUGCGGUGUCUGAACUUUUCCCCUGCAGUUAUAUAAAAAGUGUAUGGUACUACACACUUACGUGAAAUUCGUGUAAGAGUUUUGAUCAACGAUGGACAGGCUGUGCAUUCUAAUUUACAUUUCUUCAGUCUUAACCUUGUUGAUAUCACCAUCAGAAGGUGAUACUUUGGAGAUUUUUCAAGCACAAAUUUUUGGACCCUCCACAGCAAAAGUUGGUGAAAAUUUAGAGUUAAAGUGUCUCAUCUCUAACAUUCAGAGCUCAAAUACAAAAGGUUACAUGUAUUUGUGUACAAAUGGUGUUGGAGAGAGAUUAGAACUACUUAUAAAUAAAAAUGAGCACACCUUCACUUUGAGGAAUAUUUCAUUACUGGACUCUGGUACCUACAGUUGCGCGUACUCAUUUAAAAGAUAUCUUCCAGAGAAUGUCAAAGGAUCAGGAAUGAACUCAAUCCGUGUUCGAG